CAAAGCUGAUAUUAUUAGAUACUAUGCGAAGGUAAUACAUCAAGAGCAUCAGUACAUAGAAGAUCCAAAAGAGCAGAGGAGGGACUAGACACCCAGUUGAUAGGAAGGAAAUCAAAACGAUGAGCUUUUGCUACCCAGUUAGCAACCCGAUUAGAAUUCCUAUUACAGUGAGCUAAAGAGAGACCCGAAAUAGUCUUCAAUUUGUGCUUGGCCCAGUCCACAAGGGGAUCCACUAACCAAUUUAAAAUAGAGGACGACAGUACACUGUCCACUAGCAACCGACAGUCAGAUAAAAAAAUCAAUUCUUUUUCUGGGGACUUUGGGAUUAGGGUUGAAGAGAUAAAAUCUAGGGUUUCAACCAAAGCGACGGCCUCGGCUUGCUCAGCCGAGCUUACCUCAAUAUGUUUUGCAAAGCCAUCUCGAAUCAUCCCAAAAGAAUCUCUGCAGACACAAGCAAUAGCAGCCCGAGGUCUUGAUCUUGGAUGCUGAAGACCAAAAGGAGCAGAUCUGGUCUGCGAGGAGUUGAAGCCUACUGUCGUUCUCUCUCCACAUGGGGUGUGGCCCAUUGCCGAGGGUAAAGGUCUGCUUGAGGCUCGAUGCGAGGGACGAGGUCUGGGAUGCGGGGAUUCGCCUGCUUCACCAACCCAGACGCGUGGAUCCAUCCUGCCUUCUUCCCUCUCUUCCAAUUCAUAAUGCCUUCCAUGAGGCAGCAGACGUGCCGAGAGUCAGAGGAAAGUCCUCUGAUUCUUCUGAAUCGCAAGGCUUGCCAUGGUGAGCGUCUUUCUUGGGUCUUCCGAGCUGCAGAGUCAAACGCAAAGCGAACUAGUCACGGGCUGGAUCCAUAUGACACGGCCCAACAGAUGGACGCAUUUUAGAAGUUUCUCAAGCACUGGGCGUGACGAGCAAAUGACCCUUGAGCUUCCCAAAACCCUAGGCCCUCUUGAGUGAUAUUGUACAACUAUGUAAUGAUUAGGGAAUAUUUAAACCCCACCGUUAGAUCUAAGAAGAGAUCUAUGGCUGAGAUUGGCCCCGUACUUGUAUAUAUAGGGUCUCUUCCCCUAAGUUUUAUGAUCCCAUUCACAAGUGAACAAACAUUAUUGAGCUUUUCUUUCCAAAAAUACUCUCUAA
Molecule: long non-coding RNA, 1128 nt
Organism: Eucalyptus grandis
Lineage: Eukaryota; Viridiplantae; Streptophyta; Magnoliopsida; Myrtales; Myrtaceae
Exons: 2
Source: RefSeq, a predicted model, not a curated record